RNAcentral lists this long non-coding RNA (252 nucleotides) under Elaeis guineensis (African oil palm). Its description in RNAcentral is "long non-coding RNA (EGUI_LNC026262)". Lineage: Eukaryota; Viridiplantae; Streptophyta; Magnoliopsida; Arecales; Arecaceae. The record is from RNAcentral.
CUUCCACUGACAUGUUUGUGAUCUCGAUUUAAUCCCGUAAACAAACAAGUGUGAGGACCCUCAUAUUUUAUGAUUUGAAAAUAUCCAUAUUUUUUCAACAACGCAGCACGAAGCCUCCAUUUACAAUUUUGAACAUUAUCUAAUGAUGCGCAUCGUAUGGACCAUAAUUUCGAAUGCGACUGAACUACGUUGUAUGUCCGAUGCUUCAUAAUGUGAUAAAGAUUAAUAGCUCUUCUUACAUAAUCUUUACUC